This 428-nucleotide ribosomal RNA is filed under the name uncultured bacterium. RNAcentral describes it as "bacterial SSU rRNA". It matches the Rfam family "Bacterial small subunit ribosomal RNA", at positions 354 to 796 of the family's 1533-position model. The record is from RNAcentral.
GUGGGGAAUAUUGGGCAAUGGGCGAAAGCCUGACCCAGCAACGCCGCGUGAAGGAAGAAGGCCCUCGGGUUGUAAACUUCUUUUAUCAGGGACGAAACAAAUGACGGUACCUGAUGAAUAAGCCACGGCUAACUACGUGCCAGCAGCCGCGGUAAUACGUAGGUGGCAAGCGUUAUCCGGAUUUACUGGGUGUAAAGGGCGUGUAGGCGGGCCUGCAAGUCAGGUGUGAAAUUCCAGGGCUCAACCCUGGAACUGCACUUGAAACUGUGGGUCUUGAGUGAUGGAGAGGCAGGCGGAAUUCCGUGUGUAGCGGUGAAAUGCGUAGAUAUACGGAGGAACACCAGUGGCGAAGGCGGCCUGCUGGACAUUAACUGACGCUGAGGCGCGAAAGCGUGGGGAGCAAACAGGAUUAGAAACCCUAGUAGUCC